Brassica napus (rape) is the source of this 1501-nucleotide long non-coding RNA. RefSeq lists it as uncharacterized. Lineage: Eukaryota; Viridiplantae; Streptophyta; Magnoliopsida; Brassicales; Brassicaceae. The record is from RefSeq and is a predicted model, not a curated record. The transcript is spliced from 3 exons.
UUUGAACAAAAAUAGAGAUAUUGUGGACAUGGAGUUUGAACCUGAUGUUUUUGAAGAAGAUCAUGUCUAAUUCAUGAUUCAUAACCUCUUUAGUAAGAUCAAAACAUUAGGGCUUCGAAUGGAGAAAGCGGAUCAAGCGUUGUUGAUCUAACAGAUCAAGCGGAUCGAGCGGAACAAGAGUGGAUCAAGCGGAUCGAGCGGUUCAAGUGUGGAUCUAGCGGAUCUAGUGGUUCAAAAUAUAUAAUUGAAUAGUGAAAGUGGUCCAAAAUACUGUACUAAUUUAAAUUAAUCUAUAUAAAUUUUAUAAUAUUUAUUUUCAUAAUUAAAAAGUAAUAUUUUAGAAAUACUUUAUAAAUGAAAGAUAUAAAAUUUUAUUCAAAAUAUAAUAAAAAUAUUUUAAAUAUACAAUUUUAUAUUAAUAAUUAUUUUUCAUAAUUCAAAUUAGUUAUUGUAAUAAUUGUUUUAUAAAUUUAAUUAGUAACAUUUUAUUCAAAAUAUAAUUCAAAAUAGCCUAAAAAUAUAUUUGUAAAAUAAUUACUUUAGCAUGUGUAUUGCAUAUCAAGUGGUUCCUUUACUUUUUUAACAAAAGACAAAUAUAUUUGAACUGCUUGUGGUUCCUCCAUCUUAUUUAAUUAAUAUGUAAAAUUUUGUGAAUGGGAAAUUAUAAGAUAGAGGCUACACAUUAGGGUAUGAUUCACCUUUGCUCCACUCCCCAUUCUCAACCUAGAUUUACCUUUCCCUUGCCUGGGUUUAUUCACUGUCUUUGCCAUUUUGCCUUUGAAAAUUCAAAGCAAAAAUCGAGACGAGUUAACGUCAGAUUUGGCAAUCUUAGAAGCUGCCUAGUGGUUUCCGGGAAGUUUCCAUUAUAAACUAAAAGACGCAACUUAACAAUCAAUAUAGAGAACUUGCUAAAAUGCGCUUGGCAGAGAAAGUGUUAAUAGUUAAUAACUUAAAUACUAAAGGGGCAAAAUAAUUGUCCGACAAAAGCCAUUCUCACAAUUAUAUGCUCAUGUUGAAAGAUAAAUAAUACAUCAUCAUGUGUCGUUAUCAUGGAAUAAAAGCAAAAGACUUGAGCUGGUUCUGCGCAUUUUAAGGUGAAUUAGUACUUCAUUUGCUAUCAUACGCUUGUUUAACCAAACCGAACCUUCUUCGCGGGUUCCUCAGCAGCUCGUCCAGCCUCUCCUUAGCCUCUUUGGCUGCUCCGACGAGCUUCUCAUCGUUAUCAUCACUACGUUUCAUUACCGAGAAGGAGACAUAGGCUUGGUCGUGAUUGGUAGUGUAGAGAGAGAACGAUGGUCGCCGAGUCCAGACCUGUCCUGUUGCUGCCGCGACAGAAGCCGUGUUGGAUAAGUCAAUCGGUGGAGCACCGCCGUGGAAACGCCGUCUCCUCGCGCACUCAACUCCGGGAAGCAUACCAGCCAUAGCUUUUCUUCUUGUCUUGUAGCUACAAAUAUUUAUCACAAAUAAUUGAGGACAGCAGUAUGGUAUACAUACUCGAUAA